RNAcentral lists this long non-coding RNA (1098 nucleotides) under Cottoperca gobio. RNAcentral's name for it is "lncRNA (ENSCGOG00000011586.1)". The record is from RNAcentral. Lineage: Eukaryota; Metazoa; Chordata; Actinopteri; Perciformes; Bovichtidae.
AGCAGCUCUAGAUAAUCGCAGUGAUUUAGUGAGAGUUGUUUGACGCGCGCGGAGCACAGCGGAGCUCCCCCCCCCCCUCCAACUUGUCCGGCUGGCACACGAGGGCUCCUGUGUGACUUCUCGUGAUUUAUGCCCCGCAGGCUGAGAGCACACGACGCAGAGAUGUGGGACAGCUCUGAUCGGCGGGUUUUCGGAGGAGAGAGGAAGAUGCUGCUGCUGCCGAUGCUGAGGCUGCUGCUGCUGAGCGCCGCCGGCUGCAGCGGGUCGCUGUAGUCAGUCUGCACAGAGCGGAGGGACGCUGCUUCAACACCGCCUGUAUAGACCGGUUCACUCACGCUGACCUGGACCAUGAGCAAUGAUUUUCCUGUUCUGACAAGUCUGACCGAGAACUCCACUAAUGUGCCUGUGUCGGCGGGCCAGGUGGAGAACUAUGUGCUGCUGUUGGUGCUGCUGAGUGUUUUUGCCGGGGGGACACUGGUGCUGCUCUCCCUGCUGCUCCUCUUCUGCCACUGCUGCUGCAUGGGUGGACGACGCUACUCCAGGUGGGUGCUGAGGGACACACUGUGUGGGACAGGCAGGCCUGGUUCUACUGCAAACACAGGGAGAUUACAGCAGCCGACGCGGCUUGUGACGGCAGUGGAUUAAAGCUGUGCUGAAUAUGAAAGUGAAGCUGUGAUGUGACAUUUGUGUUUCCUGUGAAAGAGGACGAAGAGCAGUGGUGGAAUGUAAAUGAGUACAUUUACUCAAGUACUGUAGUGUACAGUGCCUAUAGAAAGUCAUCACACCCUGUGAAAAUCUUUACCUUUUGUCACAUUACACCCUGGAAAUCAAAAUGAAUGAAAUCUAACUUUUUUGAGCUGAAUGUACACAAUAUAACCCUCAUCAUCAAAGCAAAAAAUAACAUCAACAUUUUUCUGGACAAUUAUAAAAAAUCAAUUAGUGAAAUACCUGGUUUGGUUAAGUGGUCAGCCCCUUAGAGUAUACCAUUAUACACUUGCUCAGGUGCAACCAAUCAACUUCAAGAUCAAACACCGGGCUAAUUGCCCCCUACCGGACAUCCAUUGAAGUGAUUUUGAUUACUUCAGAAUCAAAACAGCU